AAUCAACGCUGGCGGCGUGCCUCAGACAUGCAAGUCGAACGCGAAAGUCCCCUUCGGGGGAUUAGUAGAGUGGCGUCCGGGUGAGUAACACGUAGGUAAUCUACCUUUGGGUGGGGAAUAACCCCGAGAAAUCGGGGCUAAUACCGCAUAAUGCAGCGGCAUCACAUGAUGACAGUUGUUAACGCGGGGGAUCGCAAGACCUCGCGCCUAAAGAGGAGCCUGCGGCGGAUUAGCAGUUGGUAGGGUAAUGGCCUACCAAGGCAACGAUCCGUAGCCGGCCUGAGAGGGCGGUCGGCCACACUGACACUGAAAUACGGGUCAGACUCCUACGGGAGGCAGCAGUCGGGAAUUUUGGGCAAUGGGCGAAAGCCUGACCCAGCAACGCCGCGUGAAGGAU
This 397-nucleotide ribosomal RNA is filed under the name uncultured bacterium. RNAcentral describes it as "bacterial SSU rRNA". It matches the Rfam family "Bacterial small subunit ribosomal RNA", at positions 32 to 409 of the family's 1533-position model. The record is from RNAcentral.